Molecule: long non-coding RNA, 2665 nt
Filed under: Daphnia pulicaria
Lineage: Eukaryota; Metazoa; Arthropoda; Branchiopoda; Diplostraca; Daphniidae
Description: uncharacterized LOC124329333
Source: RNAcentral
AGAAAAUCAAAUAGGAUGCAGCUAAUGUGGAUACUUAUGCAAGAAAGAUUCUUGUGACACAGUUUUCAGAAAACAUGCCAAUGAUGCCUUCUCAAAUUUAGAAUCUCUCAUCGUCCAAGAGGUUUUGAUUACACAUGGUGAAGCCUACAUUCGUUGCCCUUGUUAAGCCCUUGUUAAGUUACCGCUUAAAGCUGGUUCCAGAGAAGCAACAGCAAUCGUCAACAGCUGCAACUGGCGGAUCCAUCCGGCCUCCAUCCGGUUCUCGACUGUUCACGGCGGUGGCGCUGGCAGCCGGUCGCACAGCGUCGAAAAUAGUUCGGUCGUCAUCCGGCGAUGGCGAUGGAUCCCAUGACGGGAUCCAGCGACUGGCUCAGCACCAACAGCUUCUCCUUCAUCCAGACAACGGUCAACAACGAUCCGGGGGCGGCCCUGACCCUCCGGCGCAAGUACGGACUGAUGGCCUUCAACAACAAGUCCAGCGACAAAGUGCUAGGCAGCAGCCACCACCAUCUCCACAACAACAUCAAGGGCGACGUCAUCCGGGUCAUGCGGACCCAGUGGGAGACUCAGAUGAAGCAGAUGGAUCAAAUCCAGCCGAGUUACGAGGAGCAGGACUAGUGCAACGACAAAAGGCUGUCGCAGACUAACAAGUCGACGGCCAAGAAAAAAAGAGCCCGGCACCUCGUCCCGCCAUUCCACCCACAACCAAUCCAGUUUGGUCGCAUUCAGCGGAUUCACUCACGUGCCGGGAAAGAGAAAAGCGGCUUCGCCUCCAGAUCAGUAGAUUCCGACCAAGACUUUCAACAUCGUCGCUCCUUAUCCGGUGACGACGGCGGCGCUACCCGACCUGAUGGAAUCGACUCCGCCUGAAGCUUGUCCUCCGGAGGAGAGCAACAACAAGUGAGGCAACGACCUGAACUGCAAUUUGCUGCUGGGCGAGAAUAGCAAAGUGAAACUGUUCGCCGGUAUCAGCAAAACAAAUUGGACGACUGUCCGCUCAAAAUCAACGACAUCCUCAAAGUAGAAGGCAGAGUCCUCCGUCCGCUGGAUUCUUCCAACAAGAAGCAGCCGCAACAAGCGGAAGCUUCCACCACCGGUUCGACGAUGAUUUCCAACCACGAUGGAUUCCAACUCUGGCAUAAUGACCCUUUCGCUCGAGCCGUGCUGGUACAAACGUGGCCGGAAUCACGGAAGCAACGCGGAAUAAGCCAAUUGCAUCACCUUACAUCAGCACUCAUAUCCGCCAACGCAGCGUCGCGAUCAAAAUAAUGGAAGGUUGCGGCUCUUCUUCACCAAUGCCCUUCUUCCUCCGGUGACGUACGAGUGCAACAGCUAGGCGAUGGGUUUGUUGGCCAGUCACCACAACCUCCACCCGUCAGAAUCGAACACGAUCCGCUCCAAUUAUUCGUCGGCCGUCAGUCCCGGUGGAUCGACCAGGAUUGAAGGCUAGUACGUUCUCAACAAUCCGGCGCCAGUUCCUAAGUUUAAAAUCAGCCAACCUUCGCCUCAACCCGGUCCAGCUCAAGGUGAACCAGCCCGUCCCGACCCAGCGCCACAUUCGACCAACAACGGAGCCCGGAAGUCUUACAAAUUACGAGGAGGAUCGGUACAGCACUUGGGAAGCGACGGCCAAACAACACCAUCAACCAGCAACCUGCUAACAAGAUCAAAGACCCUCAACUAACAACAACAACCAACAACAUCGCAACGGAUGAACAGCAACUGGCGGAGUCUGAUUAAGUGGAGACUGGCGGAUCGGAUCCUGUGGAUGGCUGGAUCUACCCCAGCUGCUGCAUUUUGGUCAACCCAGCGACACGAGGCUUGCGCUGUCAAUCAACGGCCGAUGGUUCAACUUCCGGCAGUAACCAAGCCGAAAGUGGUGGACCUGCGCACUGGACUAGCGACGUCGUAACCAACGCCGACACUUUCGAUUGUCCGGUUCGUCCGUUUGAUGACCGUUCCCGCGGGCGUGGGCGUCACCCUGAGGGAAUGUCCCCACAAUUUCUGCAGGGAUUGUUUUUGGCUCACCUGAUUGAAUUCAGAGAUGAAGUGACCGGUGACAUGCCCGUACCACGACGACAAUUACGCCUGUGACGCCAUCCUACAGGAACUUGAAAUCAUAAAUUCGCUGUCGCAAGAGCAACUGCCUCAUCACCAGCCAGGCCAUUCACGAAGGCGCCAAGUGCAAGAAUUUCAGGAUCGAGUCAACCAAAGUGCCGAGACGGACGAGGACGCCAGGAGGUGGACCAAAGAAAUGAUCGAUGCGUUGCUGGUCAGUGGCCCUUUCGUGCCCGCAGUGUCAGGCGGUGUCAGGGGGUCCAUAUGAAACGUUUGGCGGACUGCGAUUAAGUCCGCUGUUCCGUCUGCCGGACGGAAGUCUGUUGGGUUACCAAACAAAAUCGCUGGGGUCCAAAGGUGACACGGGCGGUGGCUGUCGGUGUGGCGUCGACGGCGUCAAAUAUCAUCUCCUCUGAUAUUAAUGCUAUUAAUUAAAACUUAAAUUUGAUUACCGUAGAAUGAAAUUAUUUCGCCGAGUCGUGUGCAAUUGCAAUUUAUCGACAUUUGAAAUGUGUGUCUAUUUAAUUUUUUUUCGUUUGGCAUAUGUUUUAAAAAGAAAAAAAUUAUGAUGAGAAUUCCUACAUAUGUGAAUGGGAGAACAGAGGCA